UAGGGAAUCUUCCGCAAUGGACGCAAGUCUGACGGAGCAACGCCGCGUGAGUGAAGAAGGAUUUCGGUUCGUAAAACUCUGUUGUUAGAGAAGAACAGCGCAUAGAGUAACUGUUAUGCGUGUGACGGUAUCUAACCAGAAAGCCACGGCUAACUACGUGCCAGCAGCCGCGGUAAUACGUAGGUGGCAAGCGAUGUCCGGAUUUAUUGGGCGUAAAGCGAGCGCAGGCGGUUAAUUAAGUCUGAUGUGAAAGCCCCCGGCUCAACCGGGGAGGGUCAUUGGAGACUGGUUGAAUUGAGUGCAGAAGAGGAGAGUGGAAUUCCAUGUGUAGCGGUGAAAUGCGUAGAUAUAUGGAGAAACACCAGUGGCGAAGGCGACUCUCUGGUCUGUAACUGACGCUGAGGUUCGAAAGCGUGGGUAGCAAACAGG
This 429-nucleotide ribosomal RNA is filed under the name Bacteroidota bacterium. RNAcentral's name for it is "Bacteroidetes bacterium partial 16S ribosomal RNA". It matches the Rfam family "Bacterial small subunit ribosomal RNA", at positions 355 to 776 of the family's 1533-position model. The record is from RNAcentral. Lineage: Bacteria; Pseudomonadati; Bacteroidota.